UAGGGAAUCUUCCGCAAUGGGCGAAAGCCUGACGGAGCAACGCCGCGUGAGUGAUGAAGGUCUUAGGAUCGUAAAACUCUGUUAUUAGGGAAGAACAAACGUGUAAGUAACUGUGCACGUCUUGACGGUACCUAAUCAGAAAGCCACGGCUAACUACGUGCCAGCAGCCGCGGUAAUACGUAGGUGGCAAGCGUUAUCCGGAAUUAUUGGGCGUAAAGCGCGCGUAGGCGGUUUUUUAAGUCUGAUGUGAAAGCCCACGGCUCAACCGUGGAGGGUCAUUGGAAACUGGAAAACUUGAGUGCAGAAGAGGAAAGUGGAAUUCCAUGUGUAGCGGUGAAGUGCGCAGGGAUAUGGAGGAACACCAGUGGCGAAGGCGACUUUCUGGUCUGUAACUGACGCUGAUGUGCGAAAGCGUGGGGAUCAAACA
RNAcentral lists this ribosomal RNA (427 nucleotides) under uncultured bacterium. RNAcentral's name for it is "partial 16S ribosomal RNA". It matches the Rfam family "Bacterial small subunit ribosomal RNA", at positions 355 to 774 of the family's 1533-position model. The record is from RNAcentral.